ACUACGGGAGGCAGCAGUGAGGAAUAUUGGUCAAUAGACGCGAGCCUGAACCAGCCAAGUAGCGUGAAGGAUGACUGCCCUAUGGGUUGUAAACUUCUUUUAUAAAGGAAUAAAAUGAGGCACGUGUGCCGUUUUGUAUGUACCUUAUGAAUAAGGAUCGGCUAACUCCGUGCCAGCAGCCGCGGUAAUACGGAGGAUCCGAGCGUUAUCCGGAUUUAUUGGGUUUAAAGGGAGCGUAGGUGGAUUGUUAAGUCAGUUGUGAAAGUUUGCGGCUCAACCGUAAAAUUGCAGUUGAUACUGGCAGUCUUGAGUACAGUUGAGGUAGGCGGAAUUCGUGGUGUAGCGGUGAAAUGCUUAGAUAUCACGAAGAACCCCGAUUGCGAAGGCAGCUUACUAAACUGUGACUGACAUUGAUGCUCGAAAGUGUGGGUAUCAAACAGGAUUAGAUACCCGGGUAGUC
RNAcentral lists this ribosomal RNA (460 nucleotides) under uncultured bacterium. Its description in RNAcentral is "partial 16S ribosomal RNA". It matches the Rfam family "Bacterial small subunit ribosomal RNA", at positions 338 to 795 of the family's 1533-position model. The record is from RNAcentral.